AUCUUUGUAGCUUAAAUAGAGCAAUUUACUGAAGAUAAAGAAGACUAACCAU
This 52-nucleotide transfer RNA is filed under the name Argyroneta aquatica (water spider). RNAcentral's name for it is "tRNA-Phe". Lineage: Eukaryota; Metazoa; Arthropoda; Arachnida; Araneae; Dictynidae. The record is from RNAcentral.